GUGUCCAGUUUUUUCUGGAUUUGCACAUAUGUAGAUAUUUAUAUACUCCCCCAGAAGCUCUCGCGUUAAAAUAAUUCCAACUUCCGUGCCAGGCCGCAAAGUAGAUCGAUUAAUUUUAUCGACUGCGAAACAUUUCUAUCAAUCUCAUCGAACAUCAAACUUAUAGAGCCUCGCGGAAUUGCGAAACCCUGCAGCAGUCGGUAUGCGGAGCCGAGCAUCCAGGUGGUGCACUGCCGAUCUAUGCACAAUACACAUCCCAUACAUUGUAUACUGCACAUAAUUGUAAGUGCGUACCUACAGGCACGCUAUACCAGUUGGCCAACAGGGUUGAUGAGCUCGCACGUGAGUGCGGAGGACGCGCCGAGCAUGAAGUUACGGUUGGGAGUCGCGUGCUCGGCAUAAGCGCAAUGGAUUGCAAGCUCUUAAUGGCUCCUGCAUGAUAAUUUCCUAUCACGAGCGCGUAAAUUGAACGUUUCAAUAAGAAGAUGCUUGAUUGACGCGUGUAGUGCAUACACUCGACUGCAUUGUAAUUUUCGCAGCAGCGGAUGAUAUAAGAUUCCCGCAAAUUAGUUCCGCAGCAGUUUCGCGGUAGCACUUGAGCUUCGAGCAAACGAUACUCUAAUUCCCGAUAGGUGUGCCCGAAGGGCCAACGGCGUUCCGGAGCGAUAAAGCAUGCUCGCCGAGGGUGAAUCGCGUUGCGCAGCUUGUGGCGUGAUGCGCUUGCCCGCGCUGCUCGUAUAAGAGAGAGAGAGAGAGAGAGAGAGAGAGAAUGGCAGAGAAUGGCAGGCUUAUACCAGAGCGGGAUGAAAAGGGAAAAGAAGACUAAGGGCCAGGACAGCUAAAAAGGCAUAGACCACAGCCACAAGGAACAAGAAGGAACAACGGCGCUGUGUGUCGUUCUGUCGUCUUGUGUGUAUGGUCAGUCAUCCUAACCUAUUGAAAACAAACAUACCUAUUUAAAUUGGAGCAGAGAUAUUAAAUAUCUAAAUAAGUAUUUGUUUACAUUUUAAAAAUUAGUGAAUUGAUAUUUUAGAACUUCUUGAAGCCUGGCAAUAUGAAAAGAGCAAACGGUGGAUAAAUAGACGAUGGCUACGUCGUCCUAUCAAUAAAAAACGCUUAACUCAUGGAUUUUUUACAAGUCAGUUUCAAAAAAUGAAGCUUGGUAAUGAUAUCUUUUUCCAAUACGUUCGAAUGGAUGUUGACACUUUUAAUUAUUUGUUGUCAAUGGUGGAGCCUUAUAAUUGAGGAAUCGUAAGAAGAAACGAGAUGCUAUAUCUGCUGAACAGCGAUUAACUAUAACGCUAAGAUACCUUGCAAGUGGUGAUGAUAUCCUAUCAAUAGCGAUUUCAUACAGGCUAGGCAAGUCAACCGUUCAUAGCAUAAUUAAAAGAACAUGCAGCGUUAUCCAUCAAGUAUUAUCUCCUAUCUAUUUAAGACCUCCAUGCGCUCCAGUUUGGAGAAAUAUUAGCAAAGGUUUCGAACAGGAUUGGCAACUACCUGGGUGCAUUGGCGCAGUUGAUGGGAAACAUAUCUGUAUCCAAUCUCCUCCAGAUUCUGGAGCUCUUUUUUACAACUAUAUAAAGUUUCAUAGUAUUGUUUUACUUGCUGCGUGCAACCACAGAUAUGAAUUUACUGUAGUUGAAUUCGGUGCUUAUGGUAGUGAAAGUGAUGGUGGUAUAUUUUCAAGAAGUGAAUUUGGUAAAUCUUUAGACGAAGGUCGUUUAAACAUACCUACUGAAAGUGUAAAGAAGAGGAAAUUUCCAAAAGAAAACAAAUAAUGCUACAAAGCAAACUUUCAAAAGUAAAACUCAACAAAGUCCUUCAGAGUUAUUACAGGAUGAUACUACAGAGGAUGUUCUUUCAGAUUGUUUGAAUGAGUCAACCAACGAGGAAUUGCAACAGGUUCAAUAUGAAAAUAUUGAAAUUGAAUCACCCAGCUUAUUCAACGAUGAAAAUUCUACAUUGUCUCCAGGGCACAAAGAAUCAAUUGAAGAUAUGAAUAAUGAGGAUGUUGUCUCUGAAAUGGCACUAACUGAAAAUACGAUGCAAAGUCAGAAUAUUUCUAGAGAAAAUGAGACUCAGUCACAAGACAAGGUCACUAACAGUCCAAAAAGUACAACCUCUACACCUCGCACUCCUUUACUUGAUAUGACAGUUUCUUUUAAUAAUAAUAACAUCGAUAAUGAAAUGAAACAAACAUUCAAUUAAAAAAAAUAUAUCACAGGGAUGAAGAAAAUAAUGCCAUUGCUGAUUUGGUGACUAAGCGUCUACGAAAAAUUGAAGAA
Long non-coding RNA from Nasonia vitripennis (jewel wasp), 2285 nucleotides. RefSeq lists it as uncharacterized. The transcript is spliced from 7 exons. The record is from RefSeq and is a predicted model, not a curated record. NCBI's taxonomy places the organism in Eukaryota, Metazoa, Arthropoda, Insecta, Hymenoptera, Pteromalidae.